This is a long non-coding RNA of Melanotaenia boesemani (Boeseman's rainbowfish), 907 nucleotides long. RefSeq lists it as uncharacterized. NCBI's taxonomy places the organism in Eukaryota, Metazoa, Chordata, Actinopteri, Atheriniformes, Melanotaeniidae. The transcript is spliced from 10 exons. The record is from RefSeq and is a predicted model, not a curated record.
GUUUUGUCUGAGGGAACGGGAUCUGAGGGAACAGGUUCUAUCUUAGGGAACAGGUUCUGAGGGAACAGGUUCUAAGAGAACAGGUUUUGACGGAACAGGUUCUAUCUUAGGGAACAGGUUCUAAGGGAACAGGUUCUGAGGGAACAGGUUCUAUCUUAGGGAACAGGUUCUAUCUUAGGGAACAGGUUCUGAGGGAACAGGUUUUGACGGAACAGGUUCUAUCUUAGGGAACAGAUUUUGAGGGAAGAGGUUCUACCUUAGGGAACAGGUUCUGAGGGAACAGGUUCUAUCUUAGGGAACCGGUUCUGAGGGAACAGGUUUUGACGGAACAGGUUCUAUCUUAGAGAACAGGUUCUAUCUUAGGGAACAGAUUUUGAGGGACGAGGUUCUACCUUAGGGAACAGGUUCUGAGGGAACAGGUUCUAUCUUAGGGAACCGGUUCUGAGGGAACAGGUUUUGACGGAACAGGUUCUAUCUUUGGGAACAGGUUCUGAGGGAACAGGUUCUAUCUUAGGGAACAGGUUCUAUCUUAGGGAACAAAUUUUGAGGGAACAGGUUCUACCUUAGGGAACAGGUUCUAUCUAAGGGAACAGGUUCUGAGGGAACAGGUUCUAUCUUAGGGAACAGAUUUUGAGGGAACAGGUUCUACCUUAGGGAACAGAUUUUGAGGGAACAGGUUCUAUCUUAGGGAACAGAUUUUGAGGCAACAGGUUCUAUCUUAGGGAACAGAUUUUGAGGGAACAGGUUCUACCUUAGGGAACAGAUUUUGAGGGAACAGGCUCUACCUUAGGGAACAGGUUCUGAGGGAACAGGUUUUGACGGAACAGGUUCUGUCUUAGAGAACAGGUUCUAUCUUAGGGAACAGAUUUUGAGGGAACAGGUUCUGAGGGAACAGGUUCUAUCUUAG